RNAcentral lists this long non-coding RNA (252 nucleotides) under Ananas comosus (pineapple). Its description in RNAcentral is "long non-coding RNA (ACOM_LNC029259)". Lineage: Eukaryota; Viridiplantae; Streptophyta; Magnoliopsida; Poales; Bromeliaceae. The record is from RNAcentral.
UCAACAGUAGUCAUCAAGGAUAAGAAUAAUAGGAAGUGGUUUUAGAAAUAUGUAAGUUUCAAAUAUUAGUUUUAAAUAUUGGGUUUAAAUAUGUAAGUUUUUAAUUAUCUUUACUUCUCAACGAAUGGGUUAAAAAAAUUGUAGUUUUAAAUAUUGGAAUGAUAGAAAAGUAUGUAAGUUUUAAUUAAGUUAAUAGGAUAAUUAGUUAGUAAAUUUAGAAGUGUUGGACCAAUAAGGCGCAGACACGUGGUA